ACGUUUGGGUAGUGGCAGUACUGUAGCCAAUGGUGUUUAUCCAAGGCAUGAUUAUUGCUAGUUAAAAACAUUUCCCAGAAAUGGUCUCCAAAAGAAGGAGACAAUUAUAAUAUAUUGCUAGCAAU
Cavia porcellus (domestic guinea pig) is the source of this 125-nucleotide small nuclear RNA. It matches the Rfam family "U4 spliceosomal RNA". From Rfam's summary of the family: U4 small nuclear RNA (U4 snRNA) is a component of the major U2-dependent spliceosome. The structure of U4 snRNA from yeast and human has been reported. NCBI's taxonomy places the organism in Eukaryota, Metazoa, Chordata, Mammalia, Rodentia, Caviidae. The record is from Rfam.